GAUGAACGCUGGCGGCGUGCUUAACACAUGCAAGUCGAACGAUGAUGCCCAGCUUGCUGGGUGGAUUAGUGGCGAACGGGUGAGUAACACGUGAGUAACCUGCCCUUGACUCUGGGAUAAGCCUGGGAAACUGGGUCUAAUACCGGAUACGACCAUCUGGCGACUGUCAUGGUGGUGGAAAGCUUUUGUGGUUUUGGUUGGACUCGCGGCCUAUCAGCUUGUUGGUGGGGUAAUGGCCUACCAAGGCGACGACGGGUAGCCGGCCUGAGAGGGGGACCGGGCACACUGGGACUGAGACACGGCCCAGACUCCUACGGGAGGCAGCAGUGGGGAAUAUUGCACAAUGGGCGCAAGCCUGAUGCAGCGACGCCGCGUGAGGGAUGACGGCCUUCGGGUUGUAAACCUCUUUCAGUAGGGAAGAAGCGAAAGUGACGGUACCUGCAGAAGAAGCGCCGGCUAACUACGUG
Molecule: ribosomal RNA, 467 nt
Filed under: uncultured bacterium
Lineage: Bacteria
Description: partial 16S ribosomal RNA
Rfam family: Bacterial small subunit ribosomal RNA
Source: RNAcentral